This is a small nucleolar RNA of Pan paniscus (pygmy chimpanzee), 104 nucleotides long. NCBI's taxonomy places the organism in Eukaryota, Metazoa, Chordata, Mammalia, Primates, Hominidae. The record is from Ensembl.
AUCCUUUUGUGGUUCAUACAUGUGAUGAUUGGGUUUUCACACUCACAUGUGAGAUGUGCCUCCCUCCAACCUUGUUAUGAUGUCAGCACAUUACCCAUCUGACA